CUUCCAGUAGCACCUUAGAGACCAACUAAGUUUGUUAUUGGUAUGAGCUUACGUGUGCAUGUGGUAUCUGAAGAGGUGUGCAUGCACACGAAAGCUCAUACCAAUAACAAACUUAGUUGGUCUCUAAGGUGCUACUGGAAG
RNAcentral lists this microRNA precursor (141 nucleotides) under Podarcis lilfordi (Lilford's wall lizard). The record is from RNAcentral. Lineage: Eukaryota; Metazoa; Chordata; Lepidosauria; Squamata; Lacertidae.